Molecule: ribosomal RNA, 124 nt
Filed under: Diaphorina citri (Asian citrus psyllid)
Lineage: Eukaryota; Metazoa; Arthropoda; Insecta; Hemiptera; Psyllidae
Source: RNAcentral
GCCAGUGGUAAUAGUACGUUGAAUGCACCAGCUCCCAAAGGAUGUUUAACAACUCAAGUUAAGCAACGUUACGCGUGGUUAGUAUCUGGAUAGGUGAUCACUGGGCAAUCCCGUGCUGCUGGCU